Molecule: transfer RNA, 65 nt
Filed under: Panstrongylus rufotuberculatus
Lineage: Eukaryota; Metazoa; Arthropoda; Insecta; Hemiptera; Reduviidae
Description: tRNA-Phe
Source: RNAcentral
AUCCAAAUAGCUUAAGUUUAAAGCAAAGUAUUGAAGAUACUUAGAUAAGUUUGUCUUUUUGGAUA